This 85-nucleotide transfer RNA is filed under the name Butyrivibrio sp. Its description in RNAcentral is "tRNA-Ser". It matches the Rfam family "tRNA". From Rfam's summary of the family: Transfer RNA (tRNA) molecules are approximately 80 nucleotides in length. Lineage: Bacteria; Bacillati; Bacillota; Clostridia; Lachnospirales; Lachnospiraceae. The record is from RNAcentral. RNAcentral also lists the same sequence under 2 other names.
GCUGCAUUGGCAGAACGGGAUUGCCGCGGUCUUGAAAACCGCUGGCUCCUUUACGGGAGAGAAGGUUCGACUCCUUCAUGCAGCG